CAAGCAAAUCAUAUACAUUUAGGUACCCAAGUUUUCUUGGGUCCUUCAUGGUUAGUAAUGUUGGUUCCUUUUGGAACCCAAAUUCUUUUAAUUUUUCUUUUAGUUUUACCUUUUCUAUAAUCACAUACAUUUGCUUUAUAUCCUAAUGUUCCACAACAAAAACAGGUUAUUUUCUUAGUUUUACUUUCUCCUGCUUUAACAAAGAAGUUACUAAGGAGUUUUUGCUUAUUUUUAGGUUUAUACCCUAAACCUGCUCUAUUGAAUACAGCUCGUUGACUAUUAAGUAUCAUCUCUAAUUUUUCUGAGCUAUAUGUAAAUUUUUCUACAAUAGGCUUGUACUUUUCAAGU
This 348-nucleotide long non-coding RNA is filed under the name Phoenix dactylifera (date palm). Its description in RNAcentral is "long non-coding RNA (PDAC_LNC014296)". Lineage: Eukaryota; Viridiplantae; Streptophyta; Magnoliopsida; Arecales; Arecaceae. The record is from RNAcentral.